GGAAGGAUCAUUACCGAGUUGCGGCGAGUCCUCGGGCUCGCCUUUCUCUCCACACCGUGCGUACGCAUGUCAUUUACGUUUUACACAAAGGCAAAUGUGUCUAAACAACCGAAAAAAACUAAAGCAAAAACUUUCAACAACGGAUCUCUUGGUUCUGGCAUCGAUGAAGAACGCAGCGAAAUGCGAUAAGUAAUGUGAAUUGCAGAAUUCAGUGAAUCAUCGAAUCUUUGAACGCACAUUGCGCCCUCUGGCAUUCCGGAGGGCACACCUGUCCGAGCGCCGUCGCAACACUGAGCUGUACAGCUUGCGUUGGCGGACGACCCCCCGAGUCGCUCGGGGGGUCGCCGCCCAAACUUCGACGGCGCCGCACCGCGGCCGACUACGCGCACACGCAAGAGUUGGGACGGCGGAUAAGAGCGGCGGCCUUGUUUCACCACAAAGCUUGGCCUCGGAUCAGGUGGGGAUACCCGCUGAACUUAAGCAUAUCAAUAAGCGGAGGAAAAGAAACCAACAGGGAUUGCCUCAGUAACGGCGAGUGAAGCGGCAUCAGCUCAGAUUUGAAAUCCGGCCCCCCGGCCCGAGUUGUAAUCUGCAGAGGAACGUUCGGCAGAGGCGCCGGUCCAAGUCUCCUGGAACGGAGCGUCGCAGAGGGUGAGAGCCCCGUACGCGGCCGGCAGCCGACGCCGUGUGAACGUCCUUCGACGAGUCGAGUUGUUUGGGAAUGCAGCUCAAAGCGGGUGGUAAAUUCCAUCUAAGGCUAAAUACCGGCCAGAGACCGAUAGCGCACAAGUAGAGUGAUCGAAAGAUGAAAAGCACUUUGGAAAGAGAGUUAAACAGUACGUGAAAUUGUUGAAAGGGAAGCGCUCGCGACCAGACUCGAGCGGGGAUGCUCAGUCCGUCUCACGGCGGGCGCACUCUUCUCCGCUCGGGCCAGCAUCGGUUCGGGCGGCCGGACAAAGUCGCGGGGAACGUGGCCUCCCCCGGGAGGUGUUACAGCCCCGCGAACAAUACGGCCAGCCCGGACCGAGGACCGCGCAUCUUGCCAGGAUGCUGGCGUAAUGGUCGCUAGCGGCCCGUCUUGAAACACGGACCAAGGAGUCUAACAUCCGUGCGAGUGUCAGGGUGUCAAACCCUCGCCGCGAAAUGAAAGUGAACGGAGGUGGGAGCUUCGGCGCACCAUCGACCGAUCUGGACGCUCUGCCGAAGGAUUUGAGUAAGAGCACGGCUGUUGGGACCCGAAAGAUGGUGAACUAUGCGUGAAUAGGGCGAAGCCAGAGGAAACUCUGGUGGAGGCUCGCAGCGGUUCUGACGUGCAAAUCGAUCGUCAAAUUUGCGUAUAGGGGCGAAAGACUUAUCGAACCAUCUAGUAGCUGGUUCCUGC
Molecule: unclassified non-coding RNA, 1381 nt
Filed under: uncultured fungus
Lineage: Eukaryota; Fungi
Description: sequence contains 18S rRNA gene, ITS1, 5.8S rRNA gene, ITS2, 28S rRNA gene
Rfam family: Eukaryotic large subunit ribosomal RNA (bases 444-1381)
Source: RNAcentral